This 58-nucleotide transfer RNA is filed under the name Aegista aubryana. RNAcentral's name for it is "tRNA-Leu". Lineage: Eukaryota; Metazoa; Mollusca; Gastropoda; Stylommatophora; Camaenidae. The record is from RNAcentral.
GAUAAUUUAGCAGAAAAAUGCAAUUGAUUUAGAAUCAAUAGGGAACGUGAGUUAAUUA